Molecule: ribosomal RNA, 586 nt
Filed under: uncultured bacterium
Lineage: Bacteria
Description: partial 16S ribosomal RNA
Rfam family: Bacterial small subunit ribosomal RNA
Source: RNAcentral
UGGGGAAUUUUGGACAAUGGGCGAAAGCCUGAUCCAGCAAUGCCGCGUGUGUGAAGAAGGCCUUCGGGUUGUAAAGCACUUUUGUCCGGAAAGAAAUCCUCUGGGUUAAUACCUCGGGGGGAUGACGGUACCGGAAGAAUAAGCACCGGCUAACUACGUGCCAGCAGCCGCGGUAAUACGUAGGGUGCAAGCGUUAAUCGGAAUUACUGGGCGUAAAGCGUGCGCAGGCGGUUUUGUAAGACGGAUGUGAAAUCCCCGGGCUUAACCUGGGAACUGCAUUCGUGACUGCAAGGCUAGAGUAUGGCAGAGGGGGGUAGAAUUCCACGUGUAGCAGUGAAAUGCGUAGAGAUGUGGAGGAAUACCGAUGGCGAAGGCAGCCCCCUGGGCCAAUACUGACGCUCAUGCACGAAAGCGUGGGGAGCAAACAGGAUUAGAUACCCUGGUAGUCCACGCCCUAAACGAUGUCAACUAGUUGUUGGGGGAUUCAUUUCCUUAGUAACGUAGCUAACGCGUGAAGUUGACCGCCUGGGGAGUACGGUCGCAAGAUUAAAACUCAAAGGAAUUGACGGGGUCAUAGCUGUUUCCU